Stegodyphus mimosarum is the source of this 73-nucleotide non-coding RNA. Lineage: Eukaryota; Metazoa; Arthropoda; Arachnida; Araneae; Eresidae. The record is from Rfam.
GCCUUCUUGGUGUACUGGUCAGCACGCUCGGUGUGUAUUCGAGAGGUCCGUGGUUCGAGUCCCGGCGAGGGCA